Molecule: ribosomal RNA, 797 nt
Filed under: uncultured organism
Description: bacterial SSU rRNA
Rfam family: Bacterial small subunit ribosomal RNA
Source: RNAcentral
UGGGUGAGAGCGGCGAACGGGUGAGUAAUGUAUGGGUAAUUUGCUUAAAGCCCGGGAUAGCUACUCGAAAGGGUAGGUAAUACCGGAUGUGCUCGGGUGCCGCAUGGCACCUUAUGUGAAGGCGGGGAUCUUCGGACCUGCCACUUUAAGAUAAGCCCAUAUCCUAUCAGCUAGUUGGUAAGGUAACGGCUUACCAAGGCUUACGGGUAGCUGGUCUGAGAGGACGACCAGCCACACUGGGACUGAGACACUGCCCAGACUCCUACGGGAGGCUGCAGUCGAGAAUAUUUGUCAAUGUACGAAAGUAUGAACAUGCGACGCCGCGUGGAGGAAGAAGGCCUUCGGGUUGUAAACUCCUGUCAUGAGGGAGUAAGUGUAUGCCGGCUAAUACCCUGCAUACUUGACAGUACCUCAAGAGGAAGUCACGGCUAACUCUGUGCCAGCAGCCGCGGUAAUACAGAGGUGGCGAGUGUUGUUCGGAUUUACUGGGCGUAAAGGGUCCGCAGGCGGCUUUGUGUGUCAGAUGUGAAAGCCCACGGCUCAACCGUGGAAUGGCAUUUGAAACUACAGAGCUAGAGUACAGGAGAGGAUAGGGGAAUUCAUGGUGUAGCGGUGAAAUGCGUAGAUAUCAUGAAGAACACCGGUGGCGAAAGCGCCUAUCUGGACUGAUACUGACGCUCAGGGAUGAAAGCCAGGGGAGCAAAGAGGAUUAGAUACCCUCGUAGUCCUGGCCAUAAACGGUGCGCACUUGAUGUGGGAGGUUUACCCCCUUCCGUGUCGAAGCUAACGCGAUAAGU